Molecule: transfer RNA, 76 nt
Filed under: Mariprofundaceae bacterium
Lineage: Bacteria; Pseudomonadati; Pseudomonadota; Candidatius Mariprofundia; Mariprofundales; Mariprofundaceae
Description: tRNA-His
Rfam family: tRNA
About the family: Transfer RNA (tRNA) molecules are approximately 80 nucleotides in length. Their secondary structure includes four short double-helical elements and three loops (D, anti-codon, and T loops).
Source: RNAcentral
GUGGACGUAGCUCAAUUGGUAGAGCCACGGCUUGUGAUGCCGGUGGUUGAGGGUUCGAGUCCCUUCGUCCACCCCA